GUAGAUAUGACUUUGGCAUAGUAAAAUUGAACUCUACAACAUAAUUUGAGUAUUUAAUUGAUAUAAUUUAUAAGAUACGUCAUUAAAUGUUACUUUUAUUACAAUUAAUUCACUAAUGAAUACUCAAAUUUCACAACUCAUAAAAUCGGAGAAGAAAAGAACGCAGUUCAUUUAGUUCUGAAAUUCCCCGGUGUGCACUCUCAAACAGAAAAAUGAACAGAUCUAUUGUUGACAACCAAUGUCAAACCAUACGACGGAUGAAAAAGUAGAAAGUUGGGCAACUUCUUCCGUCGAAACCGUCCGUCUCAGUCCGAUCCGUCGCUUAUGGGUCGCUUCCCAUAAGAACGUGUGUAUUUUAUCGAGCUGUCAGUCAAAAACUUCGACGGAACGGACGCAACGGAUUCUAUGGGCUGGGGCCUUUACAGAUUAUUCUCAUCAGUUAGAAAAAUGUUCAUUUUGUCAAAAUACUUUUUCCGACUGUUGUAGGUACUCACUUUAUUUACAUUUUAAAAUAUUUUAUUUAAACUGUCAUUGAAGAAAUUCAAUUUGAUAAUACUUCCUCAAAUACGGCAAAUAAAUGGAUAACGAAACGAAAAACAUAUUAUUGCAACUACUUGACUCUUCAAGCGUUGAAGAUGGGAAUGAAUUUAAUUUUGAACACUUUUUUCGAAGAAGGUUAGGUUCAAAUGACUUUUCCCUUGAUUUGCAAGACGGUCACUCAAAAGUGGAAAAGUUCAUUGAAACUAUAGAUGCAUACCUACAGCGAAGAAGAUUUCAAGUCGCAUCUCCUACUGAACCGCUUGACUGUUAAUCAAUUAACAAGCAGUUGAAUAAUCAAAGUCGGAAUUCAACUCAAAUCCAACAACUGGAAAACCUAGAAUUGACGCAAAAGAAGAGGUAGGUAUUAAUCUACACACAUAUGUAUGGUACGUAAGCAACACUAUCACUUUUCGGCAAUUGGGGAAACUAUUCGGUGUAUCGAAAUCUGCAGUCUGGGGUGUUGUGGGUCGCGUAAGCAGCUUACUCCAGUCAAAGCGUCAUUUGACCUUGCGCAGAGAGGCACUGUCAGUUUUUAUUUCAUGGAUCGAUAGGGGUAUAUUUAAAAGGCUUAAACCCAAUUUCUCACCACCUGAUCAUUCUUUUUAGCGGAGUUAUUCACAAAAGUGCAUUUUUUGGGAUAUUUUACUUCUAAGCUAAUAUCUUUGCUCCAGAUUGUCGUAGACCAAAAAAUAAACAUACAUUCUCUUUCUUAUAAUAUUUUCUGCCGUUGUAUGUAAUUUCAUUGUAUUUGAGUGAGUAAUUAAUUAGUUUUUAAGUUUUAAAAUAAACAAAAAAAAUGAUCAGAAUCCAAGUUUUUUUUAGAAAUUAUUUCUUGGAAAAAAUAAAACCUUGAAAUACUAUUUGAAUUGAAUUAGUUUUAAGGCCGAAAGGCAUUAGUAUUAAGAAAAAUGAAGAAUAACUUAGAGUGCCCGUAUAGGGCCAGUAAGUUAGUUGUAAGUAAUUGAUAAGUAGGCUAGUUUUUAUGAAUUUUUGUCUAGCUUUAAGAUAGUUUUAAGAUGAUGAAAAAUAAAAAUGAAU
This is a long non-coding RNA of Episyrphus balteatus (marmalade hoverfly), 1578 nucleotides long. RefSeq lists it as uncharacterized. NCBI's taxonomy places the organism in Eukaryota, Metazoa, Arthropoda, Insecta, Diptera, Syrphidae. The record is from RefSeq and is a predicted model, not a curated record. The transcript has 3 exons.